Molecule: ribosomal RNA, 497 nt
Filed under: uncultured bacterium
Lineage: Bacteria
Description: partial 16S ribosomal RNA
Rfam family: Bacterial small subunit ribosomal RNA
Source: RNAcentral
GAUGAACGCUGGCGGCGUGCCUAAUACAUGCAAGUCGAGCGAACGGACGAGAAGCUUGCUUCUCUGAUGUUAGCGGCGGACGGGUGAGUAACACGUGGAUAACCUACCUAUAAGACUGGGAUAACUUCGGGAAACCGGAGCUAAUACCGGAUAAUAUUUUGAACCGCAUGGUUCAAAAGUGAAAGACGGUCUUGCUGUCACUUAUAGAUGGAUCCGCGCUGCAUUAGCUAGUUGGUAAGGUAACGGCUUACCAAGGCAACGAUGCAUAGCCGACCUGAGAGGGUGAUCGGCCACACUGGAACUUAGACACGGUCCAGACUCCUACGGGAGGCAGCAGUAGGGAAUCUUCCGCAAUGGGCGAAAGCCUGACGGAGCAACGCCGCGUGAGUGAUGAAGGUCUUCGGAUCGUAAAACUCUGUUAUUAGGGAAGAACAUAUGUGUAAUUAACUGUGCACAUCUUGACGGUACCUAAUCAGAAAGCCACGGCUAACUACGUG